AGGUCGUGACGGUUUGCAAUUUUGGUGAACAUCACGCAAAUUGCACUCGUCCCGGCCUGC
Molecule: microRNA precursor, 60 nt
Filed under: Nautilus pompilius
Lineage: Eukaryota; Metazoa; Mollusca; Cephalopoda; Nautilida; Nautilidae
Description: Npo-Mir-92-o50_pre stem-loop
Source: RNAcentral